GAACGCAUACGCCUAGGAUCAUGAAACUUCAUAGGUAGAUUGAUCAUGACUCACAGAUGACCCCUAUUGAUUUUGAGGUCACUAGGUCAAAGGUCAAGGUCACGGUGACCCGAAAUAGUAAAAUGGUUUUCGGAUGAUAACUCAAGAACGCAUACGCUUAGGAUCAUGAAACUCCAUGGGUAGAUUGAUCAUGACUAGCAGAUGACCCCUAUCAAUUUUGAGGUCACUAGGUCAAAGGUCAAGGUCACAGUGACCCGAAAUAGUAAAAUGGUUUCCGGAUGAUAACUCAAGAACGCAUACACCUAGGAUCAUGAAACUUCAUAGGUAGAUUGAUCAUGACCUGCAGAUGACCCCUAUUGUUUUUGAGGUCACUAGGUCAAAGGUAAAGGUCACGGUGACCUGAAAUAGUAAAAUGGUUUUCGGAUGAUAACUCAAGAACGCUUUUGCCUAGGAUCAUGAAACUUCAUAGGUAGAUUGAUCAUGACUCGCAGAUGACCCCUAUUGAUUUUAAGGUCAAAGGUCACGGUGACCCGAAAUAGUAAAAUGAUUUUCGGAUGAUAACUCAAGAACGCUUUUGCCUAGGAUCAUGACACUUCAUAGGUACAUUGAUCGUGACUCGCAGAAGACCCCUAUUGAUUUUCAGGUCACUAGGUCAAAGGUCAAGGUCACAGUGACAAAAAUCGUGCUCACACAAUGGCUGCCACUACAAUGGACAGCCCUUAUGAGGGGCAUGCAUGUUUUACAAACAGCCCUUGUUAACCAGGUUUUCCGAAGGAAAAAACAGGUUAUUAGAUUGGCGAAUGCGGGCGGGCUGGCUGGCGGGCGGGCGGAACAAGCUUGCCCGGCCAUAACUAUGUCGUUCAUUGUCAGAUUUUAAAAUCAUUUGGCACAUUUGUUCACCAUCAAUGGACGGUGUGUCGCGCGAAAUAAUUACGUCGAUAUCUCCAAGGUCAAGGUCACACCU
Dreissena polymorpha is the source of this 964-nucleotide long non-coding RNA. RefSeq lists it as uncharacterized. The transcript is spliced from 2 exons. Lineage: Eukaryota; Metazoa; Mollusca; Bivalvia; Myida; Dreissenidae. The record is from RefSeq and is a predicted model, not a curated record.